Pezoporus occidentalis (night parrot) is the source of this 4215-nucleotide long non-coding RNA. RefSeq lists it as uncharacterized. Lineage: Eukaryota; Metazoa; Chordata; Aves; Psittaciformes; Psittacidae. The transcript has 4 exons. The record is from RefSeq and is a predicted model, not a curated record.
CUUCAGGCUCCUGGAAGAACUCGGAAACAGAUGGGAGCUGGCAUAAGAGGAUAGGUGGGGAGUCUCCCUAUGGAGAGGAAGGGUUGAAGAACUGUGCAAAACCAGCUUUCAGCCAGUGGUUGAGACAGAGCUUCUGGCAGGAUAUAGCAUCCAGCAUAAGUAUAGGGAUGAAGCCAGGAGAAGAAAUAUCUGUGGAAGCUCAGUGCAGGCAGUAUUAGCAAAGUUCUAGAGAGGUCAGUCCACAGAUCUAGAAAGCAGACAUAGAAACAGCACAUGCAAUAUAAAAUAAGAAGUGACAAUCAGAGACAUCCUGUGCUUUGGGGGAGAGCUCAGAUGACACCCAAAACCUUUUGCCACCCUUGUAAAGAUAAUGACAGACAAGUGGCAGAACAAAGGAAUAAGCCGCUUCAGAGACUGUGGUUAAACAAAUUCCUCCUCCUUCAAUAAAACAGAAGAAAAGCUUUGCGAUUCCUGAACUCAGUGUCUCCAUUCCUGGGACAGUGCAGUUGUGACCUCUAAUCCCUCCCCAGGAUGUAUUGCUGCAGCCUCAACUGAGAGGCAACAUGUAUGUACAGUUGCUUGGGGCAAGAACUCGCAUGGGUGUCAAAAUGUCAGAACAGUUCCUCUGCCGCCUGCAUUUACACUUCUGGGACUGAGGAGAGCAGAAGUUGCAAGCUUGCAUUCUCCUUCCAAAUUUCCAUCCUAUUUUUAAAUCGCAUCUUUUUGGAGGGUGGGAGGGAGUAAAUCAAGAUGUAGAUAUAUACUUCAGAAAGAACAUGUUCUACAUGUUUUUUUUUCAGUUGAUAUAAAAUAAGACAUUUCUUUUAAAAACAAGAUUUACUAUUUCUGGAAUAAUUGCAAGUAUUUAUUCAAACCAAGGCUUUUUUCCUUCAUUGUCAUUUGGUAAGUAUUUCAGGUUCUAACACCCAAAAACUCGGAGAAAACAAUACUAGUUAAUUAAAAGGGAACAAAAGUAAGCCAGUUAAAGCUUUUACAAAAUUAGAACUGUUUUCUGUAGCCCUCCACUUCAGAUGCUGUAUGCCAGGGCUCAAUCUUUGGAUUUCUUUAAUCAUUUGGAUUGCCCUGUUCUUCCUCCUGAUUUAUCCAGUGGUGCAGAAGGAUUACAUCAGCAUAAUGGACACAAUGUUAAGUGUCUACAUCAGUAUAAUCAGCUUGACAGUGUUCUGAUUUAUUCCUUCUUGAAAAGUGUGGCAUCAUAAAGAUGCUGUACUGUAUAUAGCACCACUUAGUGGCAGAAGGCUAUUUCAAAUUCCCCCUUCUGAAAUCUAAUCUGAGGAACUUUGUUCCAAGUGAGACCAAACCAAUACAUCCAUUUUCCCUGCUUCCUGACUUUGCACAUUCAGAGUCCCCCAGUGCUGCUAUGGGUCUCCCUCUCCAGCACAAUAGCACUCUGGCUCUGAGCAGAACAAUCACAGCAUAUCCCUUCUCUGUCUCUUUUCUCCACUCCACUCAUGUGUGUUCCUCGUUUGGCUGUGCCCACCGAGAUGGACAAGUAUCUUUUGCCUGUGUUAGAGGCUGAUCUCAAGUUAUGUGUUGUGUGUAAAUCGAAAGGUGCUACCCUAACUGCUGUUAUACUUGGCUAUCAACACAAUGAACAGAAAAUAGGAAAACAUCACAAAGCAGGCUGAGGGUGAAUCCCUGCUUUCAGGAGCCAGAGCAAUACCAAAACGACUCAGACAGGUAUUUUUCUUUGCACAACACUAAUGUCAGGGUUGUUCAUCGUUUGAUAGUGAAAAUAGUGAAAGUAGUUCAUUGUAGUGAAUUUUAGCAGUGUUAGCAGAAGUUUCUCGCUUUGGGGAUAUAAAGAGAACUACUCUGUUUAGGGAUAAAGGAACCUGUAGUAACAUCAGUGCUUGGAAAAAUUAAAACAGAUGGAUACUUCCUUCCUCACCAAAACUCACUGAACCUUCCAAAGGGAUAUUGUGCUGUCAUACUACAGCCCCUGCUUGCAUGGGAAGAAAGGGUGCUUCAUCAAGAAACAUAAAGUAAAAUCUGCUGUUUAUAACACAUAUUGGACAAGCAACAGCAGGCUGCAACCUUCAGCUUUAAUUUUAAUGACACUAUCUCAUGUGCCAUUGCAGUAAUUUUGUUUUUUCUGAGUGUUUCUUUACAGUACUUAUAGAAAUGGCUCUUUUCAAGCCAUAGAUUAGCACAUUAUGGCUAUAAGUGAAUGGGAAAACAGUAAUGGUAGAGACAAUAAGUUCCAUUCUUAUUGUAAAGUUCCUCACAAGCAUUUGCAGUUUCUUUCCAGUGCCCUAUCAGCUGUAUUCUGAUCGUGUGUUCUGCAUCAGUUAUUCCAACACAGUACUGAGAACCAAUUUUUUCAAUCAGUUGUGUCCAAAAUGCAUAUGCAAUCUCACAUCUGAGUUGUGUGUACAAUUACUGAGAUUCCAUGCGUGCAUUGGGUAAUUUCUCACAUAAAUGCACUUAAUUAGUCAUCUGUGCAUGAGCUUUCCUAUUUGCAUACAUACUUAGGGCAAUUUUGCAUGCAAAUUAAGCACUUUAUAUAUAUAUAUGUAAAAGUUUGACUCUCAUCAUGUUUACUAAACAGAAGCUUAUGUUAGAUCUGGAAGAAAAUAAUUAAGUUGUCCGACAGCACACAAUACAAUGUGGUAGCUUGCAUAUGGGUUAUUAUAGUGUCCACAUCCUGCUGAGGUUUUCACAGAAAGGUUAUUAGAUUUAUCUCUCAUAAAAUACUUGAGGAUCAGCUGUGUAAAUGACCAAUCUGUUGAAAUAUCCGGAUAGGUGAAGUACGGGUUAUGCAAUUCUGCCCAUAACUUGCACCAGAUAUAAUUUGUAUUUGUUGUUGAAAUCUUAUAAUAAAAAUGUCCCAUCUCAAUCCUGUGCUUCUUCUGAGGCUACAAUAAAACUUGCUAGGUGAUUUUGACAUUUCGUAUUGAUGGAUUAGUACAAUCAUUGUACAGUCAUAUACAAUAUGCUUUAUUAAACCACAAGUCUGCCUGUAACUCAUAAUGGAAGAUGGUGUAGGAAUAUCUCCCUUAGUAUUUCUCUCUCAGAGAGACCAAAACCACACAUUAUCCAUUGUCUGUCAGAGUUACUUUUUUAGCUGGGGGUUACCCAGUCUUGUAGGUACCGAUAUUUUUAGUGCCUACACACGUCCUAGACACAGUGAGAGCCUAACUUAAAAGCAUGUGUGCGGUUUGGAACAGAUUAGAUGAUGUGAGACCACAGGAUCUAUUGGUCAGAGUUAACAGGAUAACUACAGAUAAUCUCGUUAGAUGAAUGCAUGAACUUGAAAAAUAAUUCUUUGGAGUUCAGAUAUUUCUGGACACUGCCAAAAGGCAGCAGUUACUCUGUACACAGAACUCUUGGGGCUUGCGCAAGAACCCCACCGACACCAAAAAAUAGCACAUAUCACUUGAACAGUAGAGUCAGGUCACAACCACCAAUGGCAGUUAGCAAAGUUUUUUACCUUGUGACUCUUUCUCUUCUUUUCUGUUUAUGUGUGUGUGGAGGACUUUGGGUUUUAGUAUUUUUAGCCUGCAAUCACUCUAUUAUUCAGCUUACCGGGUAUACCACAUUCCUAAAUAGUUCCCUUUCUUUUAUCUCUAGGCUUUAUUUCACUUAGGCAUGUAAUAUUAGUAGUAGAACUCCUCCACACCAUAUUAUUAUCCUUAUUUAUAGCUAAAUCAUAGUGAUUCAGAUAUUCAGAUAAAUUUCACAUACAUCUGUAACAUGGCUGAAGUUUCAUGGAGACAAACAUUAAAUUUCUCACUGCCUUUUUAAACUGGAUAUGUACUGAAUUUCUUCAAGUGUGUGAUAUUUUGUCAUGAAGUAAUCUCUUACAAAAGCCCAUCUCUUCCUCUCUCUCCAAGUUUUCUUUUCUCAUCUUUUCAGCUCUCCUAUUCAAAUCCAUAAGCUGUCAAAUCUGUCACUUGUAAAGUGUUUUGUCUUCCAGGUGGGUUUUGACCAAAGAUGCUGACAGCUCCAGAAAAUGACUUCAUACUAAAUAGGUAACCGGGGCUUUCUCCGAGGAGUUCUGCCUCAGCAUUUAGCAUGCACACACACACCUUUAGAGUAUCUGCUGUGGUGCUAAAACUGUUGGAUAUAUGCAGGAGGAAAGAAUAUUUGGGAGGCAUACAAAAAAGUUGGAUGCCACAAAAGGCAGAGAGAGCUCAGAAUAAAACUUCUAUUUAUGCUUUAACAAUCUGUGCAGAAGAAAACAUGUACUUG